AACGAACGCUGGCGGCAGGCCUAACACAUGCAAGUCGAGCGCGCCCUUCGGGGUGAGCGGCGGACGGGUGAGUAACGCGUGGGAACGUGCCCUUUUCUACGGAAUCGCCUCGGGAAACUGAGAGUAAUACCGUAUACGCCCAUUGGGGGAAAGAUUUAUCGGAAAAGGAUCGGCCCGCGUUGGAUUAGGUAGUUGGUGGGGUAAUGGCCUACCAAGCCGACGAUCCAUAGCUGGUUUGAUAGGAUGAUCAGCCACACUGGGACUGAGACACGGCCCAGACUCCUACGGGAGGCAGCAGUGGGUAAUCUUAGACAAUGGGGGCAACCCUGAUCUAGCCAUGCCGCGUGAGUGAGGAAGGCCUUAGUGUUGUAAAGCUCUUUCAGCUGGGAAGAUAAUGACGGUACCAGCAGAAGAAGCCCCGGCUAACUCCGUG
This 433-nucleotide ribosomal RNA is filed under the name uncultured bacterium. RNAcentral describes it as "partial 16S ribosomal RNA". It matches the Rfam family "Bacterial small subunit ribosomal RNA", at positions 29 to 507 of the family's 1533-position model. The record is from RNAcentral.